AGUGCCGAAGAGGCAAGAUGUUGGCAUAGCUGUGUCCAACGACAUAUUUUCAGCUGUGCCUACAUACUGCCAUUUUGUCACUUG
RNAcentral lists this microRNA precursor (84 nucleotides) under Patiria miniata (bat star). RNAcentral's name for it is "microRNA pmi-mir-31 precursor (pmi-mir-31-2)". Its record names the gene pmi-mir-31-2. It matches the Rfam family "mir-31 microRNA precursor family". The record is from miRBase by way of RNAcentral. Lineage: Eukaryota; Metazoa; Echinodermata; Asteroidea; Valvatida; Asterinidae.